CCUACGGGUGGCAGCAGUAGGGAAUCUUCCACAAUGGACGAAAGUCUGAUGGAGCAACGCCGCGUGGGUGAAGAAGGCCUUCGGAUCGUAAAACUCUGUUGUUAGAGAAGAAAGAGCGUGCGAGUAACUGUUUACGUUUCGACUGUAUCUAACAAGAAAGCCAAGGCUAACUACGUGCCCGCAGCCGCGGUAAUACGUAGGUGGCAAGCGUUAUCCGGAUUUAUUGGGCGUAAAGGGAACGCAGGCGGUCUGUUAAGUCUGAUGUGAAAGGCUUCGGCUUAACCGGAAUAGUGCAUUGGAUACGGGUAGUCUUGAGUGCAGAAGAGGUGGGUGGAAUUCCAGGUGUAGCGGUGAAAUGCUUAGAUAUAUGGAAGAACACCGGUUGCGAAGGCGGCUCUCUGGUCUGUAACUGACGCUGAGGUUCGAAAGUGUGGGUAGCAAACAGGAUUAGAUACCCGAGUAGUC
RNAcentral lists this ribosomal RNA (465 nucleotides) under uncultured bacterium. RNAcentral's name for it is "partial 16S ribosomal RNA". It matches the Rfam family "Bacterial small subunit ribosomal RNA", at positions 338 to 795 of the family's 1533-position model. The record is from RNAcentral.